AUGUACCCACGUACACUCCGGUUCCUCCGCGCCGUCCGCACCCACCUGACGACUGCUCGCUACGUUUUGUUAGCC
Small RNA from Xanthomonas campestris pv. campestris, 75 nucleotides. It matches the Rfam family "Xanthomonas sRNA sX9". Lineage: Bacteria; Pseudomonadati; Pseudomonadota; Gammaproteobacteria; Lysobacterales; Lysobacteraceae. The record is from Rfam.